AUGCCCGCCGCUGCGUUACCCGCUGUCAACAUCGCGAGUGUCCGCACCCAUGUCCCAGUGACACUGGACCUCCACGCCUCCAACUUCACCAAGUGGAGGAUGCUCAUCCGUGUGCUUCUCGGCAAGUACGAUCUGCUCUCCCACAUCAACACCGCCACUGCUGAGGCGGACCGCACCACCGACUGGGUUCGCAAGGACUAUAUUGUCCGCUCGUGGCUCUAUGGUUCGAUCUCGGACGAGAUCCUCGACAUAAUCAUGGCGGAGGAUCAGACGGCGCAAGAAGCUUGGACACUCAUCACCAACCUGUUUCUGGACAAUCAGAUGACCCGCGCCGUUUAUCUUGAAGCGGAGUUCCGCGGCCUCGUCCAGGGCGAGCUCUCCGUCACCGCCUACUGCCACCGUUUGAAGGCGCUCUCCGAUGCCCUCGGCGAUGUUGGCACCCCCAUCUCCGACCAGACACUGGUGCUCAAUUGCCUUCGUGGUCUCAAUCCGCGGUUUUCGGACAUCACGACGAUAGUCACCAUGCAGAACCCCCUUCCCUCGUUCAGCCAGACGAGAUCGCUGCUGACCCUCCGUGAAACCCAGCUCGCGAAUUCCGCCGCGAUUGGGCACGAGACGACACUCUAUGGAGGUGCGCCUCCCCGUGGCGCCGGCGGCUCCACUUCCUCUGGACACCACCGUGGCGACGACGCUCGACACGGCAGCGACGGCCCUCGUUACGGGAACGCCUCCGGGGGUGGCUCCUCCGGCGGAAAACGCAAUAGCGGCAACUGGAAGAAGAAGAAAGGCUCCGGCGGCGGGAACGACGGGGGUGGCUGCCCUAACUCCCACGACGGGCACUUCCAACAGGGGGCGCCCUCGUCUGUUGGUCCCUGGGUCUGCUUCAAUCCCUAUACGGGGCAGGCCUAG
This 909-nucleotide ribosomal RNA is filed under the name Triticum aestivum (bread wheat). RNAcentral describes it as "partial small subunit ribosomal RNA". The record is from RNAcentral. Lineage: Eukaryota; Viridiplantae; Streptophyta; Magnoliopsida; Poales; Poaceae.